This 4350-nucleotide long non-coding RNA is filed under the name Homo sapiens (human). Its description in RNAcentral is "HSALNT0059208". The record is from RNAcentral. Lineage: Eukaryota; Metazoa; Chordata; Mammalia; Primates; Hominidae.
CAAAAAUGGUAAGAGCAUCUUCAGCUAUAGUGAGGAGGAACCAGGCCACCAGGGCUGCAGCUUUAUACACUAAGGGGCCGUUCUUACUAAAGAGAUCUUUGUAAGAAAAUUGGCAAUUAAUGAGUCAGAAACCGCUUAUGAUUUCCUACUGUAGAAAUGCACCAAAUGACUUGCCACAAACUUGAACUCACAAUACUUGUUCAUUCAGAUCACUUCUCUGAUUCAAUAAAAAUUGUAAUUCAACUUUACAAAGCAUUAGCUAUUCAGCCCAUUUUGCUGCCAGCAUAGAACCUUUUUCCUUAGGUCUCAGGAAGGCCAGGAACCAUCUAGGUCAAUAGUUAUCAACCUGGUAAGCAUUUCCAAGUUAUAUAGCCUUCCCUUCUUAGUGAUACUUCACUUGGGGAAGAAUACAAGAAUGGAUCACAGAGAUUCCAGGUGGGAGAAACAGGCAUUCUACCUAAUGUUAUAGGAUCCUCAGAUGACUAAUAUGCAAGAUCUCUUAUGCCAUUCUCACCAGUUUCCCUGCUUGUUGAAAACACUAAGCUAGUCAUCCCCUGCUGUGGCCAAAGACCUGAACCUAGACUGUCUAACAUCUAACCCAGUAAACCUCUCUGUGCUUUCAUUUCCUGGCUUGUAAAAUAUGGGUAAUAGAAUAUAUUCAUAACAUUAUAGAGAGGUAACUAAUUAACAUAAACAAAGUACAGAUGGCCUGACUUAUGAUGGUUUGACUUAGGAUUUUUCAACUUGGUUAUAGUGCAAAAGUGAUAUGCAUUCAGUAAAACUGUACUUUGAAUUUUGACCUUUUCCUAAACUACCAGUAUGCAGUACAAUACUGUCUUGCCAUGCUGUGCAGCAGCAGUGAGCCACAGCUCCCAGCUAUGUGAUCUGAGUAUAUUUAAGGUAGGCGAGGCUCAGAUAUGAUGUUCAGUAUGUUAGGUCUAUUACAUGCACUUGCAACUUACAACAUGUUGAACUUACAUCAGGAUGUAACACCAUUGUAAGUUGAGAAGCAUCUGUACUUCGAACGGCAUCUGACACAUAGAAAGUUUGUUGUUGUUGUUGUCAUUAUUAUUUUAUAGUGAGAAACUGAGGGCUGGAUAGACCAAAUGACUUAUCUUACUUAACUAAGGGUUCAGAAUAGAAUGCAGAUUACCUAAGUUGAAAUCUAGUGCUUUUUCAUGACACCAGUUGACUCUCAAACUGAAGUUAAUACAUGUGUUUCUCAUUUUCUUAGCCUGUUUGUAUCUACCCGAAGUUAUGCAUUUAAAAGGAUCUUCACCAACAUUACUGGGAGGCAGUAAUUAUUUAACUAAUUUAAGAAAUUUAAACCAUUUUAGUUUGUACCUCAUAAUAUUUUAGGAUUUUUUCCCUCAACAGAACAAUCGAGAACAUUAAAAGAGAGCAAGCUCCACGUCACUCAACUGAUGCUACCACCCAGGACAGAAAUCAGCAGUUUCUGUUUUUCUACUGACCAGCUUUGCAUUAAACACUGCAAAUGGGAGAGCUAGUCCACUGAACUCAUAGAGCACAGGAUUGAAUUGGAAGAAUGAAGCUGGAGCUCCACGAUGCACACUGGAAGAGAGGAGGUUGUGUUAAGGUGGCGGUAAAAGGAGAAAUACACCAAUGGUGCUGGGCUGUGGCAAAGCAGCAGGAAAACUCUGUGCACACCUAGCCCCUCAAACAGGAACCACUCAGCCCAGCAAUACUUAAUAAUACACCCAAGAUUGUUUCCUUUAGUUCAUUUGGGUUCAAGAUAUAAUAUAUUAAGUACCUCUUGCCCCCUUCCUUGUUAUUUAUGUGAUGGUCGGUUUUAUGUGUUAACUUGGCUAGGCUGUAGUGAUCAACUAUCCAAUGACACAUUACUCUAGGUGUUGCUGUAAAAGUAUUUUGUAGGUAUGCUUGAUGUCUACAAUCAGUUGGCUUUAUGUAAAGGAGUUGAUCCUGGAUGAUCUGGGUGAGCCUGUUCUAAUCAGUUCAAAAGUCUUAAGAACAGAACUGAUGUUUCCCUGAGGAAGAAAAAAUCUCCCCUGUGGAUUGUGGCAUCAGCUCCUGCCCAAGUCUUUCCAAAUUGUCCUUCUGAUGGCCUACCCUGUGGAUUUUGGACUUGCCUAGUUAGCCCUCACAAUCACAUUACGAUCCCUUGCAACAAAUCGAACUCUCCUGUCUCUCUUCACUCACACAUGCGUGCAUGCGCGCGCGCGCACACACACACACACACACACACACACACACACACACACCCCAACUUGUUCAAUUUCUCUGGUGGUACCCUGACUGUUAAACUUGUCAAGUACCUGUGCAGUGAUUUGCUCAGCUAAGUGAAUAUGUUAUGGGUUGAUUUGUCAUAAUCCCCUCAAAAUCCGUAAGUUGAAUCCUUAACCUCCAGUACCUCAGAAUAUAACCUUAUUUGAAAGUAGUAUCAUUAUAAAUAUAAUUAAUUAAGAUAAAGUCAUUAGAAUGGGCUCAAAUCCUACAUGAUUGGUGUCCUUAUAAAAAGGGAAGGUUUGGAGACACAAACACACAAAAGGAGAAUGCCAUGUGAAGAUGAAGGCAGAGAUCACAGCGAUGUUCUACAAGCCAAGGCACACACCAGAGAUCGUUAGCAAACCACAGGAAGAAAAAGAGAGGCAUAGAACAGAUUCUCCCUCCCAGCCCUCAGAAGGAACCAAGCGUGCUGCCACCUUGAUCUUGGGCAUUGAGCCUCUAAAACUGUGGGAGAGUAAGUUUCUAUUGUUUUAGCCACUCAGUCUGUGGUACUUUGUUACAGCAGCCCUAAAAAACGAAUGCAGCACAUUACCAGGAAAAUCGAGACAGUUGAAUUGGGGAAAGUUAAGAAACAUACAAAGUUACAAAAUUUUCUGAGUAUUACAGAAAGCUCCAUUUCCUUACUGCUUUUGAAAUACAAACUUAUUCCCUUUUAUGCAUAACGGUUUUACUGCCAAUAGCUACCCAAGAAAAGACCUGGAUGAUUAAACUGACAAUUACAGAGAUGUACAAAUGUUCCAGAAAUUUUUCAAAGUAGUUCUUUUAAAUUCCUGGAAUCUGGUCUCUUUUUGGAUAACAGAUGUUGUAGAACCUUCUAUAACUAUUCAUCUCUCUAUUUGUGUCCUCCUGGAGUGUAGCUCUUCAGUUCUGUCUUACAGGAAAAGCUAACAAUCACCACCUGGUGUCCCUUCCCCUCUUCUAGCAAGUGAAGCUAAUAGAUAUUCUGUAAAAGGAAAAAACAACGGCCGAGCAUGGUGGCGCAUUCCUGUAGUCCCAGCUACUCGGGAGGCUGAGUCAUGAGAAUUGCUUGCACCUGGGAGGUAGAGGUUGCACUGAGCCUAGAUCGCGCCAGCCUGGGCAACAGAACGAGACUCUGUCUUCAUAGAUAGAUAGAUAGAUAGAUAGAUAGAUAGAUAGAUAGAUAGAUAGAUAGAUAGAUGGAUGAUAGAUAGAUAGAUAGAUAGAUAGAUAGAUAGAUAGAUAGAUAUAAAUGGAAAAGCAACAGUUGUGCCCAAUCUUCCACAAAUAACUUGCAACCAGGCAGAACAUAGAACCCAGGUCUUUUGAUGCCAGUCACAUCCAGCUGUCCUUCCAAGACAUUGUUUCUAUGCAGGUGUUGAGUCAGCAGGCCAGAUAAUUCCUCCCAACGUUUAUCUAAAUACAGGUGUUUUUUCUAAAAUGCAGGAAUGUGAAUUUGGAUAUAACAUUCGUCUUUGUGAGGUGUAAGUUUCUUCUUUUAAAAAAAAAUGCAUCUUUAUUUAGUCCUGACAUUUCAAACCAACAGAAUCAGCAUCAGUAUAGUGAAAGGUUAAAGUCCAGCUAUUGUCAGUUUCUACAUAUGUCAUAUUGGCCAAUUUACUUAACUUUAUUAUACUUCAUUUCCUCAUUUUUAAAAUGAGAAAUGGAGUGUUAUCUCUUUCACUGGGUCAUUACAGGGAUGAAAUGAAAUAACAUGUGGAAACAUGUUAUAAGCUCUAAAGUGGUGGAAAGAAGAUAAAAAUAAAGUAGUAAUGUCACAUCUGUGAUCUUACGGUCUCCUUUCCUAUCCCAUAUUGUAGAGGAUAAGCCACACUGAAUGUCCAUUCAGUUUACAUCAGACUUGUUUGGGAAAGUUACAGUUUGCGUGGGUAUAUCCAGAUCAUUAUGUUUUUACAAGCUUCACAGUCUGACCUAGCAUGAAAAUUAAGUACAUGAAAAGUAUUUCAGAGUCUUGUAGUUAAUGGACAAACUUAGAUAUCCCUAAUAGGUGCUUCUAAGCACUUAUCAAACUUUUUCUUACCUCUUACUCAUCUGGUUCCUUCACUACACUGUAAACACUUACGAAGGCAAGGUUAUAUUUUCAUCAUCCCUAUAUUCACAGCAUCA